CAUGCAAGUCGAGGGGAAACGACAUCGAAAGCUUGCUUUUGAUGGGCGUCGACCGGCGCACGGGUGAGUAACGCGUAUCCAACCUGCCCAUCACUUGGGGAUAACCUUGCGAAAGUAAGACUAAUACCCAAUGACGUCUCUAGAAGACAUCUGAAAGAGAUUAAAGAUUUAUCGGUGAUGGAUGGGGAUGCGUCUGAUUAGCUUGUUGGCGGGGUAACGGCCCACCAAAGCAACGAUCAGUAGGGGUUCUGAGAGGAAGGUCCCCCACAUUGGAACUGAGACACGGUCCAAACUCCUACGGGAGGCAGCAGUGAGGAAUAUUGGUCAAUGGACGAGAGUCUGAACCAGCCAAGUAGCGUGCAGGAUGACGGCCCUAUGGGUUGUAAACUGCUUUUAUAAGGGAAUAAAGUGAGUCUCGUGAGACUUUUUGCAUGUACCUUAUGAAUAAGGACCGGCUAAUUCCGUGCCAGCAGCCGCGGUAAUACGGAAGGUCCGGGCGUUAUCCGGAUUUAUUGGGUUUAAAGGGAGCGUAGGCCGGAGAUUAAGCGUGUUGUGAAAUGUAGAUGCUCAACAUCUGCACUGCAGCGCGAACUGGUUUCCUUGAGUACGCACAAAGUGGGCGGAAUUCGUGGUGUAGCGGUGAACUGCUUAGAUAUCACGAAGAACUCCGAUUGCGAAGGCAGCUCACUGGAGCGCAACUGACGCUGAAGCUCGAAAGUGCGGGUAUCGAACAGGAUUAGAUACCCUGGUAGUCCGCACGGUAAACGAUGGAUGCCCGCUGUUGGUCUGAAUAGGUCAGCGGCCAAGCGAAAGCAUUAAGCAUCCCACCUGGGGAGUACGCCGGCAACGGUGAAACUCAAAGGAAUUGACGGGGGCCCGCACAAGCGGAGGAACAUGUGGUUUAAUUCGAUGAUACGCGAGGAACCUUACCCGG
Molecule: ribosomal RNA, 934 nt
Filed under: uncultured bacterium
Lineage: Bacteria
Description: bacterial SSU rRNA
Rfam family: Bacterial small subunit ribosomal RNA
Source: RNAcentral